AACGAACGCUGGCGGCAUGCCUAACACAUGCAAGUCGAACGAGACCUUCGGGUCUAGUGGCGCACGGGUGCGUAACGCGUGGGAAUCUGCCCUUGGGUUCGGAAUAACAGUUAGAAAUGACUGCUAAUACCGGAUGAUGUCUUCGGACCAAAGAUUUAUCGCCCAGGGAUGAGCCCGCGUAGGAUUAGCUAGUUGGUGAGGUAAAGGCUCACCAAGGCGACGAUCCUUAGCUGGUCUGAGAGGAUGAUCAGCCACACUGGGACUGAGACACGGCCCAGACUCCUACGGGAGGCAGCAGUGGGGAAUAUUGGACAAUGGGCGAAAGCCUGAUCCAGCAAUGCCGCGUGAGUGAUGAAGGCCUUAGGGUUGUAAAGCUCUUUUACCCGGGAUGAUAAUGACAGUACCGGGAGAAUAAGCCCCGGCUAACUCCGUGCCAGCAGCCGCGGUAAU
This 450-nucleotide ribosomal RNA is filed under the name uncultured bacterium. Its description in RNAcentral is "bacterial SSU rRNA". It matches the Rfam family "Bacterial small subunit ribosomal RNA", at positions 29 to 524 of the family's 1533-position model. The record is from RNAcentral.